CACAAAAGCAAGCUAGCUACCUAACAUUACCUCAGUAAAUUCCUUAAAUCCUGAUUCAAAUAUGGUGCAGGAGUGGAAACAGAGUUCACCACAUGAAGGACAGUCCAGUACUUCCAGGUAUUUUAGAAGAAGAUUCCCCAUAUUAUCCUUAUUAAUGAGGCGAGAGCUUUAAGAGAGGAAGUUGAUUGGGCCGCCAGUCCCCCCAGAAGUCCCCAAGGUUCAGAGUUCAGAGUUCAGGUAAGAACAGACACCUUUUUAAAUUUAUCUGCACCCAAAGUCCAUUAAAAAUCCCCAAGCACACAUUGUUAUUGCUUUUUUUCUUACUGAACAAGAUUUGUUAUCUGAUUAAACAACAACGAGAAGAUGGGUACAUUUUUGGUUGGUUGCUAAGGUGUGUCUAGGUGGUUGCUAUAAUGUUGC
This 420-nucleotide long non-coding RNA is filed under the name Astyanax mexicanus (Mexican tetra). Its description in RNAcentral is "lncRNA (ENSAMXG00005016751.1)". Lineage: Eukaryota; Metazoa; Chordata; Actinopteri; Characiformes; Acestrorhamphidae. The record is from RNAcentral.